GAGCAGGAGCCCCCUGCGCAUCAGGGAAGGGAACGUAGAGCCUGCGCGCUCAGAGAAAGGGGCUUACCGAUGCCUGCUAGGGUGGCGCGCACUGGGGCUCUAGAAAAGAGGGUUGAGAACCCCCAGGUGAGUGCCUAGGAAGGUCAAAGGAGUCAGCAAAGUCUGCGGAAGAACUUCCCCGAGUUGGAGAGGAAACUCAUCCUGGAAGCUGGAAGGGAGAGGAGAACUAGGCUGGGAGAAGUUUGAUCAGGGCUCUGAGCACCAAGCCGAGUGCAGAGGAGCUGCUGAUAAUUGCGGGGAGAGCUCUGAGACCCCGAGAAAGAUGGGGAAACUGAAGCCCUAGAAGAAAAGAAGACUCAAUGUAUUACCAUCUGACCCACUUCCUGGCUAGCCCUGUUCAUCUAUCUGCUGUUCUUCAUUGUGGCAGUUGUAUGUGUGAGUUUGCAGCUCAAUCCUGGCCAAGGGGAUCCAAGGGCAGCUGAAGAGGCAUGUCUGCACAUGUCACCUAGAAUGUCUCCAGCCAUUACAUGACCCCUGGGGGAGGCAUUCUCAACUCUCUGAGAGUCGCAGAUCAGAAAGAUGGAAAGAAAGCACCUGGCUUCAGGAUGAUGGCAUCGAGCCACUGAAUUAACCAUCUUUGGACCACCCUAACCUUCAGAAAUCACCUUAACAAGAGAAAAUAAAAUGCUUAUUGCUUA
Saimiri boliviensis boliviensis (Bolivian squirrel monkey) is the source of this 698-nucleotide long non-coding RNA. RefSeq lists it as uncharacterized. The record is from RefSeq and is a predicted model, not a curated record. NCBI's taxonomy places the organism in Eukaryota, Metazoa, Chordata, Mammalia, Primates, Cebidae.